This 551-nucleotide ribosomal RNA is filed under the name Acinetobacter soli. Its description in RNAcentral is "bacterial SSU rRNA". It matches the Rfam family "Bacterial small subunit ribosomal RNA", at positions 200 to 743 of the family's 1533-position model. The record is from RNAcentral. Lineage: Bacteria; Pseudomonadati; Pseudomonadota; Gammaproteobacteria; Moraxellales; Moraxellaceae.
UCACUUGUGACCUUGCGCUAAUAGAUGAGCCUAAGUCGUAUUAGCUAGUUGGUGGGGUAAAGGCCUACCAAGGCGACGAUCUGUAGCGGGUCUGAGAGGAUGAUCCGCCACACUGGGACUGAGACACGGCCCAGACUCCUACGGGAGGCAGCAGUGGGGAAUAUUGGACAAUGGGGGGAACCCUGAUCCAGCCAUGCCGCGUGUGUGAAGAAGGCCUUAUGGUUGUAAAGCACUUUAAGCGAGGAGGAGGCUCUUUUGGUUAAUACCCAAGAUGAGUGGACGUUACUCGCAGAAUAAGCACCGGCUAACUCUGUGCCAGCAGCCGCGGUAAUACAGAGGGUGCAAGCGUUAAUCGGAUUUACUGGGCGUAAAGCGCGCGUAGGCGGCCAAUUAAGUCAAAUGUGAAAUCCCCGAGCUUAACUUGGGAAUUGCAUUCGAUACUGGUUGGCUAGAGUGUGGGAGAGGAUGGUAGAAUUCCAGGUGUAGCGGUGAAAUGCGUAGAGAUCUGGAGGAAUACCGAUGGCGAAGGCAGCCAUCUGGCCUAACACUGA